This is a long non-coding RNA of Populus trichocarpa (black cottonwood), 1238 nucleotides long. RefSeq lists it as uncharacterized. Lineage: Eukaryota; Viridiplantae; Streptophyta; Magnoliopsida; Malpighiales; Salicaceae. The record is from RefSeq and is a predicted model, not a curated record. The transcript is spliced from 2 exons.
UACAAGCAAAUAGCCUCUGGCUCUUGGGUCAACUGAGGCAUCGUAGCAUCUUGAAAUUAUGCCGAACUCGUCUCCAUCCAGAGGGCAACAGCAUUUCUCAACCGUUCUUUUAAAUUUAGAUAUCCAAGCACGAAAGAGUUCUUACAUCAUUAGAAGAAAUGUUGUCGGAAUCUAAGCUCCAUGAGUUGCUAAUUAAUUAUAGUUUCUUAAGCUUCAAGACUACUAGCAUCUACUAACUUGAUUUUAUAACCUAACCCAUCAGGCAUCAGUUAGCUUGACCUGAAAAACAUCUUUUUUUUUUUGUUAUCUUUAUACACCCAUUGCCUAACCUCUACCCCUCCCUCCCCUUCUCCCUUGUCUUGAUAAAGACAUGAAAUGACAGAUUCGCAUUUCAAGAAGAGACAUGCUGUUUCUUGCCAGAGUGAAUAAACAUGAGAUGGAAGCUACUCAUUGAAGCCUAUCAAGUAACUAAUGCGGCAAGUUACUUCGCCUAGUUGGAGGAAAUAUUAGACUAGCUUACAUGUCCUUUUCUGGCUUGAAUGACCCAUGAAGAGCCGGCAAAGCAAAUAGAAGAGAAAAUCCGUCUCAUCUUGUUGCACUUAUCUCACCACAAAGUGCCCCCUUACGGCUGUCCUUGCUUGCCCCAAUCCUUGUUCACUAGAGUUGACGAGGUGUUUUGACACGAUCCGAAUAAGACAGCUACUUUUGGAGAAAAUGCAAAGCACAGCUAAACUGUCAACAACCCCAGAUCCACUUGUGCUUUCUUCAUGCUCAAUUAGGAGAACAUGGACAAGCAGAUGAAUUUAGAGACAACAUAGUUGACUAGCCCUGAAAAGGAUCAUGGCUUCCACUUCCCUGCAAGGUUGCAACUUUUAUCAAUUCGAGCAGGUCGUCUUACAAAGGAUUGACGAUGAAAACUGAAUCCAUUUGAUACGGGAAGCCCCAUACUUGGGCAUUACUCUCUUGGGAGUUAUAGUUGCUCAAACAACGUGUUUACGAAACUUCAAGUUGAGGUCAAAAUGAUAUUACCAAGUUUCUAGCCAAAUCCCAAUUCCCAGCCAUGAUUUUUAGGGGGGAAAAAAAGAAAAAGGAAACAGGUUGCCUCCCCUGUCAAACCACCGCAAAAUUCUUAUAUUUUCAUGUGUGAACGGUCCGUUUGUCUAAGCGUUUACAACUGUGUUUGUUAUGUAACAGUGAAAAUCUAGUGUUUGGUUAUGAAAUCAACCGUGAUUUUUGUA